AUCUACGGGUAACCCUACUAUCCCACACCCAACCCCGGGUGGGGCGAACGAAGGACUCUAAGAGCCCCUAGCCUGCAACCCUGAUUCUAGACCUCCAGCAGAAAUCACAUAAAUAAUUAUCUAAACAUAAAGCCAUAAAUAAAAUGGCAUGCAAUAAUAUCAAACAGUAACUACCUUAAAGGGGUACAAUCCAAUACAGAAAUCAUCUAUGGAGAGACCUACCAAACCCUGUCAGGAUUAUGAUUCCAACUAAAUAUAACAACCUUCAUAUUGAAUAAUCC
Molecule: long non-coding RNA, 281 nt
Filed under: Nicotiana benthamiana
Lineage: Eukaryota; Viridiplantae; Streptophyta; Magnoliopsida; Solanales; Solanaceae
Description: long non-coding RNA (NBEN_LNC009225)
Source: RNAcentral